AUGCACGUUGGCGGCGUGGAUUAGGCAUGCAAGUCGAGCGAGAACCCCGCAAGGGGGGACAGCGGCGAAAGGGACAGUAAUGUGUAGAUUAUCUGCCCUCAGGUCCGGGAUAGCUGCGGGAAACUGCAGGUAAUACCGGAUAACAUCUCCGGAUCAAAGGUGUGAUUCCGCCUGAGGAUGAGUCUGCAUCCUAUUAGCUAGUUGGUGGGGUAAUGGCCUACCAAGGCAUUGAUGGGUAGCAGGUGUGAGAGCACGACCUGCGUCAUUGGGACUGAGACACUGCCCAGACACCUACGGGUGGCUGCAGUCGAGAAUCUUCGGCAAUGGGCGCAAGCCUGACCGAGCGACGCCGCGUGUGGGAUGAAGGCCUUCGGGUUGUAAACCACUGUCAGAGGGGAUGAAAUGCAGGUGGGUGCUCCCAUCUGUUUGACAUAGCCUCAGAGGAAGGACGGGCUAAGUUCGUG
This 464-nucleotide ribosomal RNA is filed under the name uncultured bacterium. RNAcentral's name for it is "partial 16S ribosomal RNA". It matches the Rfam family "Bacterial small subunit ribosomal RNA", at positions 29 to 507 of the family's 1533-position model. The record is from RNAcentral.